GAUGAAGAACGUAGUGAAAUGCGAUAAGUAAUGUGAAUUGCAGAAUUCAGUGAAUCAUCGAAUCUUUGAACGCACCUUGCGCUCCUUGGUAUUCCGAGGAGCAUGCCUGUUUGAGUGUCAUUAAAUUCUCAACCUCAUCAGUUUUGUUAUGAAGCUGUGUGAGGCUUGGAUGUGGGGGUUUGUGCAGGCUGCCUCAGUGCGGUCUGCUCCCCUGAAAUGUAUUAGCGAGUUCCAACUGGGCUCCGUCUAUUGGUGUGAUAAUUAUCUACGCCGUGGAUUGGGCUUAGACUUGCUUCUAACCGUCCGCAAGGACAAUCUUUUGACAAUUUGACCUCAAAUCAGGUAGGACUACCCGCUGAACUUAAGCAUAUCAAUAAGCGGAGGA
Molecule: unclassified non-coding RNA, 385 nt
Filed under: soil metagenome
Description: partial contains 5.8S ribosomal RNA, internal transcribed spacer 2, and large subunit ribosomal RNA
Rfam family: 5.8S ribosomal RNA (bases 1-120)
Source: RNAcentral